Molecule: transfer RNA, 70 nt
Filed under: human gut metagenome
Also listed under: 2 other names
Rfam family: tRNA
About the family: Transfer RNA (tRNA) molecules are approximately 80 nucleotides in length.
Source: RNAcentral
CUUUGUAGCUCAGUAGGAUAGAGCGACGGUUUCCUAAACCGGUGGUCGUGGGUUCGACUCCCACCAAGGC